GACGAACGCUGGCGGCGUGCCUAAUACAUGCAAGUAGAACGCACAGUUUAUACCGUAGCUUGCUACACCAUAAACUGUGAGUUGCGAACGGGUGAGUAACGCGUAGGUAACCUGCCUGGUAGCGGGGGAUAACUAUUGGAAACGAUAGCUAAUACCGCAUAAUAUUGAUUAUUGCAUGAUAAUUGAUUGAAAGAUGCUAUUGCAUCACUACCAGAUGGACCUGCGUUGUAUUAGCUAGUAGGUGAGGUAACGGCUCACCUAGGCGACGAUACAUAGCCGACCUGAGAGGGUGAUCGGCCACACUGGGACUGAGACACGGCCCAGACUCCUACGGGAGGCAGCAGUAGGGAAUCUUCGGCAAUGGACGAAAGUCUGACCGAGCAACGCCGCGUGAGUGAAGAAGGUUUUCGGAUCGUAAAGCUCUGUCGUAAGAGAAGAACGGGUGUGAGAGUGGAAA
RNAcentral lists this ribosomal RNA (457 nucleotides) under Streptococcus sp. oral taxon H24. RNAcentral describes it as "bacterial SSU rRNA". It matches the Rfam family "Bacterial small subunit ribosomal RNA", at positions 28 to 464 of the family's 1533-position model. Lineage: Bacteria; Bacillati; Bacillota; Bacilli; Lactobacillales; Streptococcaceae. The record is from RNAcentral.